Molecule: transfer RNA, 73 nt
Filed under: Actinoplanes siamensis
Lineage: Bacteria; Bacillati; Actinomycetota; Actinomycetes; Micromonosporales; Micromonosporaceae
Description: tRNA-Asp
Rfam family: tRNA
About the family: Transfer RNA (tRNA) molecules are approximately 80 nucleotides in length. Their secondary structure includes four short double-helical elements and three loops (D, anti-codon, and T loops).
Source: RNAcentral
GCCGCCGUAGCUCAGAGGGAGGAGCACCCGACUGUCGGUCGGGGGCCGCGGGUUCGAGUCCCGUCGGGGGCGC